This 496-nucleotide ribosomal RNA is filed under the name uncultured bacterium. RNAcentral describes it as "partial 16S ribosomal RNA". It matches the Rfam family "Bacterial small subunit ribosomal RNA", at positions 28 to 506 of the family's 1533-position model. The record is from RNAcentral.
GAUGAACGCUGGCGGCGUGCCUAAUACAUGCAAGUCGAGCGAACGGACGAGAAGCUUGCUUCUCUGAUGUUAGCGGCGGACGGGUGAGUAACACGUGGAUAACCUACCUAUAAGACUGGGAUAACUUCGGGAAACCGGAGCUAAUACCGGAUAAUAUUUUGAACCGCAUGGUUCAAAAGUGAAAGACGGUCUUGCUGUCACUUAUAGAUGGAUCCGCGCUGCAUUAGCUAGUUGGUAAGGUAACGGCUUACCAAGGCAACGAUGCAUAGCCGACCUGAGAGGGGGACCGGCCACCCGGGAACUGACACCCGGCCCAGCCCCCCACGGGGGGCAGGAGUAGGGAAUCUUCCCAAAGGGGCGAAAGCCUGACGGGGCAACCCCGGGUGAGUGAUGAAGUUUUUCGGAUCGUAAACCGUUUUUAUUAGGGAAAAACAUAUGUGUAAGUAACUGUGCACCUCUUGCCGUUACCAAAUAAAAAAGCCCCGGCUAACUCCUU